GUGUUUGCUUUGGCAACACAUAUACUAAAAUUAGAACGAUACAGAGAAGAUUAGCAUGGCCUCUGCGCAAGGAUGACACGUAAAAAGCAGAGAUUUUUUGUAAAGAUUUUU
This is a small nuclear RNA of Dipodomys spectabilis (banner-tailed kangaroo rat), 111 nucleotides long. NCBI's taxonomy places the organism in Eukaryota, Metazoa, Chordata, Mammalia, Rodentia, Heteromyidae. The record is from RefSeq and is a predicted model, not a curated record.